Equus caballus (horse) is the source of this 1682-nucleotide long non-coding RNA. Lineage: Eukaryota; Metazoa; Chordata; Mammalia; Perissodactyla; Equidae. The record is from Ensembl.
ACCAUAUGUUCCCUCCCCUCCCCUGCCCAUCACUGGCCUCCCUGGCCCCAGCCCCCUUUGCUCUGUUUAGCCUAGGAUGGUAUAUAAAUCUGAAUCAUCUGGCCACCUCUUUGAGUCUCAUUUCUUUGAGAAACUCCCAAAUGCAGAUAGACCACAGGCAGAUCAUCUUGAUCCAUUGGACUUGGAUGUUGGACUCAAUACGGAAUCCUAUGGGGAAUUAACAUGCGAAACAGAUAAAACUUCGAGCCACAUGAGGGAAGUGCCAAGAGAAUCACUUGCAAGGAGAGGAUGUGCCUGUAAGAAGAGUAGGUCCUGUGACGCUGAGAAGCAAAAUGUCCUGUUCAAGCUAACUUGGUAAUCCUUAGAAGCAGCCCCAAGGAAGAAGAUUGCCACACUCUGCUUGAUCUAAUGGGCCACAACAGCUCCCAAAUUGAAGAAAUGAGGAUUGGCAUGUCAAGGAAGAGAGACAGCUGAGAGAGAAGAUGGUGGCCUGUGACUAAGAAAUACUAACCUCUGGAACUAUGUGACUCUCGGAUAUCGAUUCCGUUCUGCUGCAGGCUCCAGGCUCUGGGACCACUUCUGAUCUUAGACUUGGAGGGCUUUAGGGUCUGAUUUUGGGGCUCAGCACUAAGUCAAUCUUGCUACCCAUUCAGCCAUGACGUUGUAGUCCACUCUGCAUAAAGGUGCUUCUCCCUUGUGCAGAAGAUUCAAUCUCCACAUUGUAUCCUAAUCAUGGUAGCUGGGUCCUUGUCUUGCUCCUUGUGUUUCUCAAUCUGUCUUGUCCUUUUUGAACUGAAGUCUUUCAUUGCCUUACCCAAAGUCAAGAGGUUUCUAGCCAAGAGGUUUCUAGCCUUCAUAUAACUUAACUCCUGUUGGACUCGAUAUUGCCUGUUUCUAGAUUCUUCAUGUCAUCCUUUGAAUGGAUGUUGGGACACCCUCUGCUCCUUUGAGUUGUCCCUCGUUUCCCUCCCCCUGCUUCAUACCAACUAAUAGCCUAGAAAAACAGAUGUUUAUUGUUAAGUAUUUUCCAAACUGCGUCUCCAAUAUCUAGUGGAGUGCCUGGACCAUAGUAGGCAUUCAAUAAAUAUAUAGAGAAUGAAUGAAUUCAUUCUACCUGCCAGCCAGGACUCCUUUCCAGUAUUUGCUGGCAAAGUCCAUUUUCCCAGAAACUGCCGGUCUCAGAGGUUUCUAGAUCUCAGCUCACCCCAGUUUGCCCAGGCUGCCUUGCCUUACCUUGAACUGGGACACAACACCAAAAUAUUAUGCAUCUUUGUAUCAUCAGCAAGGUGUGUCUUCAAUGCCUCAUUCUUCUUUGCAGGUUUUUGAAAAUGUUGGCCUGUUCUAGCUUAUUUUCUCUUUCCUUUGCCUCCUGGUUGUCUCUCAGAAACUUUAGGAAAAAUUUUAUUUGAUGAAAUUAAUUCAUACCAAAGUGCCAAUCACUAACAAUUCAGGGAAGUUAGCCAGUAAACUUCAAGGUAUAGCCCUGGGUUGUAGUUAGUGAAGCCAAGAGGAAGUUCCACCUUAGAUAGAGCGGGAAUGUUUCUAGAAACUGGAGAUAUUUAGCUUGGAGAUCAUCUUGGGAAGGUCAUGGCAGCUAUUUCAAAUAUACAUAUAUGUCUGAUGUGUAAAAGUCAGAAUACAUCUAUAUUGUGCAAAUAAGCAUUGGUGAUGAUCUGCCCUAA